Long non-coding RNA from Gambusia affinis (western mosquitofish), 540 nucleotides. RefSeq lists it as uncharacterized. The transcript has 3 exons. The record is from RefSeq and is a predicted model, not a curated record. NCBI's taxonomy places the organism in Eukaryota, Metazoa, Chordata, Actinopteri, Cyprinodontiformes, Poeciliidae.
UCAGACUUGAGUCCUACCGUUCACAGAACAGAACUCGUGAACUACACGGCGAUACUUUCAGCAGUGGUGAGAGAGCCGGGGAUCCCAAACGGCGGAGCAGGUCACCUUCAUCGGAUGUUCGGGCAGCUGCGUGUUGAAAAAUGAGAUCAGCUGCUUGCUCACCGGGACGCGGGCAGCAGCCUGGAAACACCCAGGGCCAAGAGCAGCGACCGGCAUGGGGCGGCCUAGGUGCAGUCUGCCGUCCCGGGGCCAGGCGGGUCACCUUGACGACCGGGCCCGGCGAACAGAACCGCGCCCCCCGCAGGGCGAACAGGGAGGUUUGACAGGUAAUGAGGCAUCGCAGCGAGACUGGAGCGGCGCUCGGAUGAACCUCAUGUGAACAGAAAUGUGUUUCUGUUGGAGGGACAGCAGCUUGAAGAGAAACCUGGGAGGAAUUUUAUCCCAGCAAGAAGCCUAGAAAACGACCAGUUUGGACGCGGUUGAGGUCCUAAAGCAACAGCUGAUGGGCUCCAGCCUCAGUGGCGUUCGUUCGUUCGUUAC